AAAAUAACCAUGAUUCCCCUAGUAACGGCGAGUGAAGAGGGAAAAGCUCAAAGUUGGAACCUGGCUGUCUUAGAUAGUCCGGAUUGUAAACUAAAGAGCGUGAAUCCAGGCAAGCCGGUUGAUCAAGUCCUUUGGAAUGAGGCGCCACUGAGGGUGAGAGCCCCGUAAAUCGACUGAGCAUUUGUCUUUUGUGUUUCGCGUUCAAAGAGUCAGGUUGUUUGGGAAUGCAGCCUAAAGCUGGUGGUAAAUCCCACCUAAAGCUAAAUACAGGCGAGAGACCGAUAGCGAACAAGUACCGUGAGGGAAAGAUGAAAAGUACUUUGAAAAGAGAGUUAAACAGUAUGUGAAAUUGCCAAGAGGGAAGCAUUUGGAGUUAGACUGACUUGAAGUUAAUCAGCUUGGUCUUUGGACUGGGUGUACUUGACUUCUAUGUCUGCCAAUAGCAGUUAGUCCUGGUGGAAAAAACUGAAGGGAAGGUAGUCCUUCGGGAUGUUUAUAGACCUUUGGAAAAUACACUGGGAUUGACUGAGGAAUGCAGUAGAUGCUAUUAAGGCUUCGUCUAGUAGGUGUUAGGUGAAGGUACUUGGUAUUUUCAGCUUGCUGAUGUGCUAGGUUACUUGAGCUUAAUUGCUUGCUAGAACUGUAAUUUACUUUGGUUAUUGGCUUAAUGACUCUAAAUGGC
RNAcentral lists this ribosomal RNA (682 nucleotides) under Lichtheimia corymbifera. RNAcentral's name for it is "partial large subunit ribosomal RNA". It matches the Rfam family "Eukaryotic large subunit ribosomal RNA", at positions 62 to 648 of the family's 3401-position model. Lineage: Eukaryota; Fungi; Mucoromycota; Mucoromycetes; Mucorales; Lichtheimiaceae. The record is from RNAcentral.